RNAcentral lists this ribosomal RNA (254 nucleotides) under uncultured bacterium. Its description in RNAcentral is "partial 16S ribosomal RNA". It matches the Rfam family "Bacterial small subunit ribosomal RNA", at positions 524 to 776 of the family's 1533-position model. The record is from RNAcentral.
UACGUAGGGGGCGAGCGUUGUCCGGAUUCAUUGGGCGUAAAGCGCUUUAAGGCGGUUCGCUAAGUCGCGUGUGAAAACUCCAGGCUCAACCUGGAGACGCCACGCGAUACUGGCGUGACUAGAGUUCGGUAGGGGAUCACGGAAUUCCUGGUGUAGCGGUGAAAUGCGCAGAUAUCAGGAAGAACACCCGUGGCGAAGGCGGCUCUCUGGGACGGUACUGACGCUGAGACGCGAAAGCGUGGGGAGCAAACAGG